This 327-nucleotide ribosomal RNA is filed under the name uncultured eukaryote. Its description in RNAcentral is "partial 18S ribosomal RNA". It matches the Rfam family "Eukaryotic small subunit ribosomal RNA", at positions 1470 to 1796 of the family's 1831-position model. The record is from RNAcentral.
CCCUUAGAUGUUCUGGGCCACACGCGCGUUACACUGAUGAAGCCAGCGAGUAUAUCGCCUUCACCGGAAGGUGCGGGUAAUCUUGUGAAACUUCAUCGUGCUGGGGAUAGACCAUUGCAAUUAUUGGUCUUGAACGAGGAAUUCCUAGUAAGCAUGAGUCAUCAACUCGUGCUGAUUACGUCCCUGCCCUUUGUACACACCGCCCGUCGCUACUACCGAUUGAAUGGUUUAGUGAGAUCUCGGGAUUGGAGACGUUGCGCCGCAAGGCACAUCGUCCUCGAGAACGUGAUCAAACUUGAUCAUUUAGAGGAAGUAAAAGUCGUAACA